RNAcentral lists this long non-coding RNA (2585 nucleotides) under Triticum aestivum (bread wheat). RNAcentral's name for it is "long non-coding RNA (TAES_LNC014281)". The record is from RNAcentral. Lineage: Eukaryota; Viridiplantae; Streptophyta; Magnoliopsida; Poales; Poaceae.
AUAAGGUGGACUCGUCGGCAUAUGCUGCUGUUAUUGAGUAUACCAAGUACCAACUCAAAUUAUGGUUUUCUUAUUAUGAAAUAAAUGUAUGUCGUCGCUUGGCAAACUCUGUUGCUCAUGAGCUUACUAGUCUUGGCAGGAUGUACAGACCUAACAACUAUGAGGAAUGGGAGGCCGGUGUACUGGCCCUUGUGGCUGCCUGUGCUUUGGGUGAUUCAGCCCAACACCGUUAAGUUAUAAAGCAAUGUUUUUUCUCGAAGGAGAAGCUUUUAGUAGAUGUACUUGUGCUUAUGCUUUACACAUUUACACUUGUAUAAUCAUUCUGAUCCCUGAAUUACAUGCUUGAUGACACGGUAUUAGUCCAGUUAGUUUGGUGAUAGUUAUUUUUAACAACGGGGCUGGAAUAAUUGUAUGUUGUAUGUUAUGUUCAACUCAUUAACUAGAAUUUUUUUAUUUCUUGAUUGCAGGAUCCAAAGAACUAGUUGGACUGGACUCUAGAUCACGGACAGUUUAGUCUUCGCAGUUAAUUAGGAUGGCUAAAUUACAUUUGAGUUUCAUUUGAUUGAUAUUUGCUAUGAUAAUUAUGAAUUUACAUAUUAUACGUAUGGUUUUGAAUAUUGUAAUUGAAAGGCUGUAUUUUUUUUACGGUUGCAAUAGGCUGUUACCAGAACACACUUUUGGUUGCCACAUGCUAGCACCACUACAAAUAUAGUGUUGCAUCAUAUCUUAGUCGCUAUGCCUACCUGUUUUGUUGCACAAGGAUGCUGCAGCAGAGCACUUUAUAUUGUCGCAAUAGUUUGGCACCACUAUUUUUUGCAUGAUGCAAUAACUGUUUGGCGCCACCAAAGUAAGUUUUGUUGAAAUAGAGUAUUGCCACGAAAAGUUUAAAUUGUUGCAAUAGUUUCUUGCUACAAAGAUUUUACCUGUUGUGAUACCUAUUUAUCACCACCAAAACAAGUAUGUUGCAGUUUCCUGUUACGACGACUAGAAUAUUUGUUGCCAUAAGUUAAUUCCACAAGUGCAGUGGGUCGUGGCAACAUGUCUAAUGCCAGGAAAAAAAAGGAUUGUUGCCAUAGUUUAUUGCCACAAGUGUGGUGGGUCGUGGCAACAUGCCAAAUGCCACAAAAACAAGGAUUGUGGUCAUAGUUUAUUGCCACAAUUGACUAUUGCCACGGAAGAGUAGUGCGCCACGAAACGGCUAUCGUUGCCAUAGGUUGUUGCCACAAGUGUCUAUCGCUACGAGAUAUCGGUUGCCACGAUUCGUUACAUGUUGCAUUAAAGCUAUCUCCACAAACCAAAUUGUGGCAUUAGGUGAGUGUUGCCACGGGAAAACAGGUGGCAACUUCCCGCAUGGAUGUUGCAAUAGCAUGCUUUAUUGCCACAAUUGCUUUUUCGUGGCAAUAACCUAUUACCAUGUGUCCAGUCGCAACGGCUGCCAACGAAUGUCGUUUCGUGGCAAUAGGUACUUAUCGCCACGAAACAUCAUGUAUUGCAACAAAUGAUUUUGUUGUAAUAGACCCGGAUCCUUGUAGUGUGAUGUGGUCUUAGACAAACGACCCAAAUCCACCUCAUUCAAGCCGGCAGAAGAAAUAGUCAAAUUCCAAGUCCACCCAACGGACCCCAAGAAGACAACAUCCAUAGGAGCACAACUAGACCCAACGGUUGACGCCGCUCUACGAGAGUUCCUGUGCGAGAAUUGAGAUAUAUUCGCCUGGCACCCUUCUAAUAUGCCAGGAAUCGCACGCGAGUUGGCCGAACACAGCCUCAAUAUAUCGAAGGGACACAAACCGGUCAAGCAAACACUGCGGUGCUUCUCCGAACCCAAACGCCAAGCUAUGGGGGAAGAGCUAGCCAAGCUAAUCGAGGCCGGAUUCAUUAGAGAAAUAAAACAUCCGGACUAGUUGGAAAAUUUGGUGAUGGCACCAAAUAAGGACAAAUCCUGGCGCAUGCCCCAAGGAUCCCUUCCCCCUCCCCCGCAUCGAUCAAAUCAUUGACGCCACCGCAGGACACGACUCACUGUGUUUUCUUGACGCAUAUUCCGGAUACCAUCAAAUCAAAAUGAAGGAAUCCGAUCAAGCUGCAACGACAUUCAUCACCCCAUAUGGGCCAUUCUGCUUCAACACUAUGCCCUUCGGGCUCAAGAACACCGGCGCCACAUACCAACGCAUGAUUCAAACAUGCUUGGAGAAACAGACCAGCAAGACAGUUGAAGCUUAUGUGGACGACAUCGUCAUCAAAACUAGGCACGUUGAAACACUAAUAGACGAUUUACGUCUCACAUUCGACAACCUCCGCGUGUAUGACAUUAAGCUCAAUCCGAAGAAGUGCGUUUUCGGCAUCCCUGCUGGAAAACUGUUGGGCUUCAUCGUUUCCAAUAGAGGAAUUGAAGCAAACCCAGCCAAAAUCCGAGAUUUGUCACAAUUGGCUAAGCCAACAGACCUUAAACAAGUUCAAAAGCUCGCGGGUUGCAUAGCAGCUCUAAGCCGCUUUAUCUCCAGAUUGGGAGAAAAGGCACUGCCACUCUAUCACCUUCUAUGGUGAACCGACCACUUCGAGUGGACAUACGCGACAACAGCUGGACUGGA